AAAGUCGUAACAAGGUAACCGUAGGUGAACCUGCGGUUGGAUCAUUAUCAAUCCUGGGCUCGCAAGAGCCCUUCAACCCCAUGUGCACUAAAUAUUGUUUCUGGGUGUCUCGGCACCCAAACUUAUAAACCAUACCAUUUGUCUGAUAUUAUUAUAUAAUAAAAAACAACUUUUGACAACGGAUCUCUUGGCUCUC
Molecule: unclassified non-coding RNA, 196 nt
Filed under: Chytridiomycota sp.
Lineage: Eukaryota; Fungi; Chytridiomycota
Description: partial contains small subunit ribosomal RNA, internal transcribed spacer 1, and 5.8S ribosomal RNA
Rfam family: Eukaryotic small subunit ribosomal RNA (bases 1-47)
Source: RNAcentral